RNAcentral lists this microRNA precursor (177 nucleotides) under Picea abies (Norway spruce). RNAcentral's name for it is "miR11495 stem-loop (pab-MIR11495)". Lineage: Eukaryota; Viridiplantae; Streptophyta; Pinopsida; Pinales; Pinaceae. The record is from miRBase by way of RNAcentral.
GGCAAAUCUUAAGCACCAGACAGAUUUGGCAUAAAUGUAGGUGGAACCUUGAUUUUUAGCAAGGUUUCAGGCAGGCCCUUGGAACCUUGAUGUAACAGGUUUUCUGCCUGGAACCUUGCAAAACAUCAAGGUUCCACCUGCAUUUAUAGCAAGUCUGUCUGGUGCUCAAGGUUUGCU